RNAcentral lists this ribosomal RNA (277 nucleotides) under uncultured Clostridia bacterium. Its description in RNAcentral is "partial 16S ribosomal RNA". It matches the Rfam family "Bacterial small subunit ribosomal RNA", at positions 511 to 788 of the family's 1533-position model. Lineage: Bacteria; Bacillati; Bacillota; Clostridia. The record is from RNAcentral.
GCAGCCGCGGUAAUACGGAGGAUGCGAGCGUUAUCCGGAUUUAUUGGGUUUAAAGGGUGCGUAGGCGGUUUAUCAAGUCAGCGGUUAAAUGUCCGGGCUCAACCCUGGCCUGCCGUUGAAACUGAUGAACUGGAGAUAGUGUGGAGUAUGCGGAAUGCGCAGUGUAGCGGUGAAAUGCAUAGAUAUUGCGCAGAACUCCGAUCGCGAAGGCAGCAUACUAACACUAAUCUGACGCUGAGGCACGAAAGCGCGGGUAUCGAACAGGAUUAGAUACCCC